UAAAAUGCAAAACUUCUCAAUUUAUUUGGAUAUGAAAUAUGCUGCUUGUUAGUGAGGUCCCAUGAGAUUCGAAUAGUACCUUAUCUGGGGAUCACCUGAAACUGCUUCCCUUGUAUCAAUAGAUUGUCAUAAUAUCUUCUGUCAUAAAUCAUAAUAUCAUUGGUAGUUGUCACCCUUCUCUAGUUUAUCUUCUGUCUGAUGUAUAAACUCAGAGGAUAUCCUCACCUUAAAUUUUUCACGGAAUUCCAGUAGAAUGGCAUUUAUGGUUUUUUUCCUUCACUUCAGGAAUUGGACAAGCGAACUCAGUGCUCAAUUAGCAUAACUGGAUCUGAUGUGUCCGAUGGUGUUAUCUUUAGUAACACAAAAUGCCACAUGAAAUUUAGAAACAACUCCAGUGAAGAUCUUGAUGGCUUUGACACUCCACGGAGCAGAAGUUCUUGUUUCUCUUUCACCCAUGAUUCAAUAAAAAAUGUUGAAAACUGUGAUGUUCGGCAAUACCUUGGGAAUUUUGGAAUGGGAAACAAUAAAGAGCUAAGAGAGACAAGGUCUAGUUAUUUUGCUGAUGACUAUGUCUCCCAGAAAGUUAACCCGGACGUACUGAAGGAUAUGGCGACCUUUCAGAAUCGAAUGCAAUAUGGAGGGUUUCUUAUAUGUAACAUUAGAACAUUCUGACAGUGAACAGAGUAAAUAGUGCCCACUGGCCAAUGAAGUUAAGUAAUUAUCAUUGUAACUUGUAAAGUGAUUAGCAUUGUGCAAUUAUUUGUGUUGUGUGUGUAGUUGUCCAUUUGUUUCUUUUUUCCGUCAAAUGUGAAUUUUUGGUCACUGAUAUGACCUUUUAUCAUGUUUCAGUAAUGGUCAUGACGUGCUAUUUUGUUUACAUGGGAAUAAUUGACGCCAUCUAGCACUACAGAAAAAAAGAGCUGUUAGAUGUCACACUGAUGAAGUUCAUGAUGUUUGAGCAGAAUUUGAUGUGAGAAUUGUUUGAUUGAUAGGUUGGGGAUGUAGCUCAACUGGUAGAGUGUUAGUCUACGCAUGAUAAAGGUACGGGGUUCAACUCACAUCUCCAUUAAAAUGUUUUUUUUCCUUUUAAUUUAUCUCUGUCUUCCAUGUGUAUAAAAAAGUUAUAAAAAUAUUUGUUGUGCAAAAGCAAUCAAUAUUUGGGAUGAAGCUCAACUGGUAGAGCGUUAGUCUAAGCAUGAUAAAGGUACGGGUUUCAGUUCCUCGCAAAUCUUGCUUUGCUUCUUGUUGGGCUUAGAGCCUUGUAAAAUGUUUGUAAUCUGUACAUUUGUCCCUUGUAAAUAAAAUAUGAAAAAAAAUAAUCUCAUGGUCACAGCUGUCUCAGGCUCUUGGCUCCCGCUGGCAUCAUUUUGGCAACAUGCCAACAGGGUGCAGGGCAUGCAGCCACGCGCGCUGGAGGCUUUCAACACGGGACCCCGACGUGGACGGUGGAUGGAUCGAAUGCAUGUGCUGGUAGCUACAUUCGCGGAUCGGAUGACCCGUCGCGAGCGAGAUGAAACCGUCCGCCAAAUCACCCGGCGACACCACACUCUUGACGCUACGUGCGAGCGCCACACCGACGAUCGACGGCGACGGCGACGGCGACGGCGACAUCUGAGACGAGGAUACUCAGAGUCGUCGUGCAUGCAAUCAGUAAGACAGGUAAUGCCCAACCGGCCAAAUUAAAGCGCUCUUAUCCAGAAAAGGCUUGUUGGAGCCUUGGAGAGGGGAAUAAACCAAACCUUCCAUCUCUCUCGUCUCUACACCCGCACCGCGCCGGCCACCUCACCGCCUCUCCAGAUUAAUUUCGCCCUCCGCCGCCUCGGCACCGUACGAGCCCGAUCGGGGAUUCCACCAGAUCGAUCUUGGCCGCCGGAGCCGCUGGGUAAGCGAGAGCACUCCUGCUUGGGCUCCGUCUCAACAUGUCGCAUGCUGCUGCCGAGUGAUAACGCUUGCUGCAAGCAGGAGUAGAUCGAUUCGACGGCCAUGGGGGGCGCCGUGCUGGUGGCCGUCGCGGCCGCCAUUGGCAACUUGCUGCAGGGCUGGGAUAAUGCCACCAUUGCAGGUAAUGAUCUCUCUGUAUGUAACUCGUUGCCGUCCAAGUCAAGAUGUUUCGAAAAUUCCAACUGAUUCUCGCUCAUAGAUUAACUGUGUUCUGACCCUGCUAGUUAACCUGACGCCUGAUCUCUGCUGCAGGGGCAGUCUUGUACAUAAAGAAGGAAUUCAAUUUACAGAGCGAGCCCCUAAUAGAGGGUCUCAUCGUGGCCACGUCCCUCAUUGGGGCAACAGCCGUCACGACGAUCGCCGGGGCGGUGGCUGACUCCAUUGGAAGGCGGCCCGUGCUGAUCGCCUCGGCUGUCCUCUACUUUGUCAGUGGGUUGGUGAUGCUCUGGGCACCAAGCGUGUAUGUCUUGCUCCUAGCAAGGCUCAUCGAUGGACUUGGUAUCGGUUUGGCUCUCACGAUUGUUCCACUAUACAUCUCCGAGACUGCGCCGACGGAGAUUCGAGGAUCGUUGAACACGCUUCCGCAGUUCAAUGCGACCGGUGGGAUGUUCCUUUCUUAUUGCAUGGUGUUUGGGAUGUCUCUCUUUCCAAAACCUAAUUGGAGGAUCAUGCUUGGGGUUCUAUCGAUCCCCUCGCUUAUAUAUUUUGCACUGGCUGUCUUCUACCUGCCUGAGUCACCGAGGUGGCUCGUGAGCAAAGGAAGGAUGGUCGAGGCUAAGAGAGUCUUGCAGAGGCUGCGGGGAAGGGAAGAUGUCUCAGGUUUGUAUGAAUUCGCAACCUCAAUGGAAUUCAUUGUGAUUGUGGUGGCUGUACAAUUUGUGUUAUGAUUAUUACUCAUUUUGGGUUAACUAUUACACAGGAGAAAUGGCUAUUCUGGUCGAAGGUCUGGGUGUUGGGAAAGAUACACGUGUUGAAGAAUACAUAAUUGGCCCUGAUGAAGGGCUGGCUCCACAUCCAGAGAAGAUCAAACUAUAUGGACCUGAAGAAGGCCAAACCUGGGUUGCCCGACCUGUUAGUGGUCAAAGUGCACUUGGAAGUGCGUAUGGUCUCCUCUCUCAACAUGGGAGCAUGGCUAGUCAAGGUAAGCCCUUUGUGGAUAAUGUUGUCACUCUUUUCGAUAGCGUCCACGAGAAGAUGCCCGAUAUAAUUUCGAGCAUGCGGAGCACAUUGAUUCCCAACUUUGGCAGCAUGUUUAGUGUCAUGGAGCAGCAGCAGCGGGCUAAAGCUGACUCGGAUGCCGAGAGUCAAAUGGAAGGCAAUGAGUACGCUUCAAAUCAUGGUGGAGAUGACAAUGAGGAAAGCCUCCAAAGCCCACUUAUUUCUCGACAAUCAACAAGUGUGGAAGGAAUACCUCAUGGUAGCAUAAUUGGUGGAGGAUGGCAAUUGGCAUGGAAAUGGACCGAGAGAGAAGGUGCAGACGGGCAAAAGGAAGGUGGCUUCCAACGUAUUUACUUGCAUGAGGAGGGUGUACAAGGCAGCAAGGGUUCUAUAUUGUCAUUACUAGGGGGAGAUGUCCCUCCUGGUAGUGAGUUCGUCCAGGCUGCGGCUCUUGUGAGUCAACCAGCUCUUUACUCCAAGAAACUGUUGGAGCAGCGUGCUGCUGGUCCUACCAUGGUGCAUCCAUUAGAGGCAGUUGCUAAAGGUCCAAAAUGGGCCGACCUUUUUGAACCUGGAGUGAAGCAUGCACUGUUUGUUGGCAUAGGAAUACAGAUCCUGCAACAGGUAAGAAGAUUAUUUUCCUCUAUCCUUCAAACUAUAUAUAUCCCUACAAGCACCCAGUAACUAGUUUAACGCUCCAGAAGCACCAAAAGAAUUUCUUACAAUGCUUUAAUGAAUUAAUGCCUUUUCUCUUAAAAAUAAAUAGUUAUAUUGAAUCAUCUUGCUGCCAUGUGCUGCACUUUUGCUAAUAACUUUCUUGUUAUAGUUCCUACUUUCGGUUAUACCAGCAAACAUUAGGAGCCUAGCGAUUAUGGAAAGCAACCUGAUGGUAUUUUCUUGCUAUUUCCGAAGAAGGAAACAAACCAAAUGAUACGAUGGAUGCUAAUCUGGGUAGCAUAGUUUUACUUAUCACACUUCCGGUGCUACCGAUAAAUCUUUAGGUCCUAACACGAGUGAACUUAGCUUUGAUAUCUUGUAGUAGUCAUUCUAGAAAGAACCACAACUUGGUGUUCUCUAUAUGAAACACCUAAAAAAUUCUUUAAAUAAGAUAUUGGUGAACUAUUUAAGUGGACGGUUCCAAUCUUACUCUUACUAAUCGGAGGCUCCACGUUAACCUUUACCUGACGCUGUAAAAAAAUAGAUAAAUCCUAAAAAUUCUAACAAAAUUCAGAAAUACCUAUCCAUCAAUCAGUAGACUCUAAUCAUCACAACCAUUGGUUCUAUUAUGUUUUCUAAAAAAACUAUGCACAUCUGUCGUUAUGAAAAUACAGUAAAGUAACACCCUACAUAUGUAUUUAAAUUUCCUACUUCUACCAUUAUUAGGUAAAAUAAAACCCAUAACCUUCAUCAAAAGUUUCCACAUAUACCGUUAUAAAUAAUUAAAAUAUUCUCUCAAAUUUGCAUAUAAAUUACCAACAUUGUCAUUAUUAAAAUAACCUAAGGUAGCCCCUAAAUGUACAUUGAAAUCAGCUACAUCUGUUAGUAUAAAAAUAAUCCCAAAAUACAAAAAUAUAUGAUUCUAAAUUACCCCAUUGUUAAUAUUGAAAAUACUAAAUUAAGUAAUACAUGAAUGAUGUGUGUGUAACCAUAUAGACCAUGUAUACAUGUAUGGAAGAAGCGAAGAUAAUGUUAAUUUCCAUGUUAAACAAAUAGCUCGAAGUAAGGGUUCAAUUAAACACAUGUCAAAUACAUGGAUAUAAGAUGUGAAGUGAAAAACUAUGGAUGUGAAUGAAAAAGUAUAUAGAGUAAUUGCUAACUAAAAUCUAUCACACCCUGAUGAGGAUGAAUACAUACCUAUAUAGGUAUUGUGUUAGAAUGUUUAACAAAAGAGAGAGUGCGCGUAAAGUAGGAAAUUUUGAUUUUUUUUAGCUAUACACUUUUUUUUCAUAAAUUUCAAAUAUUUAUGUCUCAGUGUGGUAGCACAGACUGAUAGACUAGUUCUAUUAAGAUACUGGAGAAUUGUUGUAAGUGGGCUAUGGGACUGCUCAAUGUUGUUAGCAGAAGCAUGGAAACAGUAUGUUGAUCUUGUCUGCCCAUUCAUUUACAUGGAUAUUCCUGAAUACAUUUACCAAAUAUGGUUGUAGGUUAAAGUCUCGGCAUGAUGUUUCAUGUUUGUUGACUUAAUUUUGUUUUAUUUUAACUGUUUCCCCGUCAAAUGUGGUAUACAAUGUGUUACUAUUCGAUUAUUAACUUUAUGUUUUUUUUAUGCAGUUUGCUGGCAUCAGUGGUGUUCUCUACUACACUCCUCAAAUUCUUGAGCAAGCAGGUGUUGGUGUUCUUCUUUCUAACAUUGGCCUUAGCUCAUCUUUGGCAUCUAUUCUUAUCAGCGCCUUGACAACCUUAUUGAUGCUUCCGAGCAUUGGCAUUGCCAUGAGGUUCAUGGAUAUGUCUGGAAGGAGGUUAGACAUUGUGUUUGAUAUACUAUUGCUUAUUAUGCGUAAAUACAUUUUUGGUAGAAGUAAGUAACGAGGGUAAUAAUUCUUUUGUCUUGUUUCUCGUUCAGGUUUCUUCUCCUUGCGACAAUCCCUAUCCUAAUAGUUGCACUAGUCGUCUUGGUCAUGGUCAACAUUGUGGACGUGGGAACCACAGUGCAUGCUGCACUCUCCACGAUCAGCCUCAUACUCUAUUUCUGUUUCUUCGUCAUGGGGUUUGGGCCUAUUCCCAACAUUCUUUGUGCAGAGAUCUUCCCCACCACUGUUCGUGGAAUUUGCAUAGCCAUCUGCGCCUUUACCUCCUGGAUCGGUGACAUCAUUGUGACAUACACUCUCCCCGUGAUGCUAAACUCCAUCGGGCUCGCCGGUGUCUUCGGGAUAUAUGCUGUUUUUUGUAUCAUAGCUCUUGUAUUUGUAUACAUGAAGGUGCCGGAGACAAAAGGCAUGCCCCUCGAGGUCAUCAUCGAGUUCUUCUCUGUUGGAGCAAAGCAAGCUAAGGAGGAUUAAUCGCCCGACUAGGGAUCAACGUCACUGGCUGUAAUUUUUUGGUUUCCAAACUUCAUCGUGGUUAAUUAAUCCUCUGAUGUCGUCUGAAAGUUACAUUUACCUACGAAGGAAGGGACCAGCGACGGUGUGCCUAAAGAGUUGGUUUGGCAGUACAUGGUGUCAUGGCUGGGCUUGGGUUUCUUUUUGUGAUCUUGCUUCUACUUUGAUGUCCCAUGAGAUCCAAAUAGUACCUUAUAUAUCUAGGGAUCACCUGAAACUGCUUCCCUUGUAUCAAUAGAUUGUCAUAAUAUCUUCUGUCAUAAAUCAUAAUAUCAUUGGUAGUUGUCACCCUUCUCUAGUUUAUCUUCUGUCUGAUGUUUAAAUUUAGAGGAUAUCCUCACCUUAAAUUUUUC
Molecule: long non-coding RNA, 6490 nt
Filed under: Setaria italica (foxtail millet)
Lineage: Eukaryota; Viridiplantae; Streptophyta; Magnoliopsida; Poales; Poaceae
Description: long non-coding RNA (SITA_LNC005571)
Source: RNAcentral